Molecule: ribosomal RNA, 450 nt
Filed under: uncultured bacterium
Lineage: Bacteria
Description: partial 16S ribosomal RNA
Rfam family: Bacterial small subunit ribosomal RNA
Source: RNAcentral
GUGGGGAAUAUUCCGCAAUGGACGAAAGUCUGACGGAGCAACGCCGCGUGAGUGAUGAAGGUUUUCGGACUGUAAAGCUCUGUUGUUUAGGACGAAAGUGCCUGUUGCAAAUAGUUACAGGUAUUGACGGUACUGAACGAGGAAGCCACGGCUAACUACGUGCCAGCAGCCGCGGUAAUACGUAGGUGGCAAGCGUUGUCCGGAAUUAUUGGGCGUAAAGAGCAUGUAGGCGGGAAUCUAAGUCUGUUGUGAAAAUGCGGGGCUCAACCCCGUAUUGCGAUGGAAACUGGGUUUCUUGAGUGCAGGAGAGGAAAGGGGAAUUCCCAGUGUAGCGGUGAAAUGCGUAGAUAGUGGGAGGAACACCAGUGGCGAAGGCGCCUUUCUGGACUGUGUCUGACGCUGAGAUGCGAAAGCCAGGGUAGCGAACGGGAUUAGAUACCCCGGUAGUCC